AAUACAUUAGCUCAUUGGGUAGAGCAAUUGACUAAUAAUCAAUAGGUAGAAGGUUCAACUCCUUCAUGUAAAAUUUUA
RNAcentral lists this transfer RNA (78 nucleotides) under Crassvirales sp. Its description in RNAcentral is "tRNA-Ile". The stretch from base 3 to 70 matches the Rfam family "tRNA". Rfam says of the family: Transfer RNA (tRNA) molecules are approximately 80 nucleotides in length. Their secondary structure includes four short double-helical elements and three loops (D, anti-codon, and T loops). The record is from RNAcentral. Lineage: Duplodnaviria; Heunggongvirae; Uroviricota; Caudoviricetes; Crassvirales.